AUACUGGGCGUAAGCGCACGCAGGCGGUUUGUUAAGCUAGAUGUGAAAGCCCCGGGCUCAACCUGGGACGGUCAUUUAGAACUGGCAGACUAGAGUCUUGGAGAGGGGAGUGGAAUUCCAGGUGUAGCGGUGAAAUGCGUAGAUAUCUGGAGGAACAUCAGUGGCGAAGGCGACUCCCUGGCCAAAGACUGACGCUCAUGUGCGAAAGUGUGGGUAGCGAACAGGAUUAGAUACCCUGGUAGUCCACACCGUAAACGCUGUCUACUAGCUGUUUGUGGCUUUAAGCCGUGAGUAGCGAAGCUAACGCGAUAAGUAGACCGCCUGGGGAGUACGGCCGCAAGGUUAAAACUCAAAUGAAUUGACGGGGGCCCGCACAAGCGGUGGAGCAUGUGGUUUAAUUCGAUGCAACGCGAAGAACCUUACCUACACUUGACAUGUUGAGAAGUUACUAGAGAUAGUUUCGUGCCUUCGGGAACUCAAACACAGGUGCUGCAUGGCUGUCGUCAGCUCGUGUCGUGAGAUGUUGGGUUAAGUCCCGCAACGAGCGCAACCCUUGUCCUUAGUUGCCAGCAUU
RNAcentral lists this ribosomal RNA (574 nucleotides) under Alteromonas sp. Its description in RNAcentral is "bacterial SSU rRNA". It matches the Rfam family "Bacterial small subunit ribosomal RNA", at positions 551 to 1125 of the family's 1533-position model. The record is from RNAcentral. Lineage: Bacteria; Pseudomonadati; Pseudomonadota; Gammaproteobacteria; Alteromonadales; Alteromonadaceae.